This 253-nucleotide ribosomal RNA is filed under the name uncultured bacterium. Its description in RNAcentral is "partial 16S ribosomal RNA". It matches the Rfam family "Bacterial small subunit ribosomal RNA", at positions 524 to 776 of the family's 1533-position model. The record is from RNAcentral.
GACGAACCGUGCGAACGUUGUUCGGAAUCACUGGGCUUAAAGGGCGCGUAGGCGGGUCUCAAAGUCCGGGGGGAAAUCCUCCAGCUCAACUGGAGAAGGGCCUUGGAAACUAGAGGUCUCGAGGGAGGUAGGGGUCCGUGGAACUUCGGGUGGAGCGGUGAAAUGCGUUGAUAUCCGAAGGAACGCCGGUGGCGAAAGCGACGGACUGGAUCUCUUCUGACGCUGAGGCGCGAAAGCCAGGGGAGCAAACGGG